GUGUCUGAGGAGCUGACGUUCACUCGGCAGCCAGAACACAUGUCCCUGGACUACACGCUCCAGCACAACAUCCCCACGCUGCGGACGCUGUGGGUGGAGGACAGUCUGAGCCUGCAGGCCUCUGUGGGUGCUCCCAGCAGCGGCUCCAGCUUGGAGCAUUCCGCACGCAUCUCGGUGGGGCCCACGUCCCUGAACUACUCCGUUAGCUGCUGUCACCGUGCUGGGCACCUGGAGCUUUCUGGCUGGAGCUCGCACAACAGCGUGACCUUGUUGCGGGCUGGGGUCCCGGGCCAGGCCGGCCUCAGUGCCAAGCUGCAGACACACGAGACCCAGACCCAGGCCAGUGUGGCCCUCCACGGAGGGGACGGUGGUGUGAGCGCAGACGUGGCUGCCCUGGCGGCCUGGCCCACGAACUGGCACCCUGGAGCUGGUGGUGAACGCCAGCCACACGGCACCUGCCCUCCGGAGGCUGGGCCUGCCCUUUGCCAGCCAGCUCGUGUUCCAGAAGCUCUGGGCAGAGGGACGGGUGCGCUCUUCCCUACGGCUGACCUGUGACUCUCAAGCCAGCCUGGUCCUUGAUGUGCGUGGCCAGAGCCGGGCACUCAGCAAAGAGCUGCAGCUCUGGGGCCAGCACCACCUCCCCGGCCUCCUGGGCCGCUGCCCCAGCAGAGCCUCAGCCGCCGCCAAGGUAACUGUGCCCGGCACCCCUGAGCGCUAACUGCUUCCAGAUGCCCUGCCCGGGGCGGGAGGGGGCCGUGCAGGCCGGGGCCCCCU
This 774-nucleotide long non-coding RNA is filed under the name Canis lupus familiaris (dog). RNAcentral describes it as "lncRNA (ENSCAFG00030011155.1)". Lineage: Eukaryota; Metazoa; Chordata; Mammalia; Carnivora; Canidae. The record is from RNAcentral.